RNAcentral lists this ribosomal RNA (468 nucleotides) under uncultured bacterium. Its description in RNAcentral is "partial 16S ribosomal RNA". It matches the Rfam family "Bacterial small subunit ribosomal RNA", at positions 28 to 507 of the family's 1533-position model. The record is from RNAcentral.
GACGAACGCUGGCGGCGUGCUUAACACAUGCAAGUCGAACGGAAAGGCCCUGCUUUUGUGGGGUGCUCGAGUGGCGAACGGGUGAGUAACACGUGAGUAACCUGCCCUUGACUUUGGGAUAACUUCAGGAAACUGGGGCUAAUACCGGAUAGGAGCUCCUGCUGCAUGGUGUGGGUUGGAUAGUUUCGGCGGUUGGGUAUGGACUCGCGGCUUAUCAGCUUGUUGGUGGGGUAGUGGCUUACCAAGGGUUUGACGGGUAGCCGGCCUGUGAGGGUGACCGGGGACAAUGGGACUGAGAUAGGGAGAAGAAUGCAACGGGAGGCAAGAGUGGGGAAUAUUGCAGAAUGGGCGGAAGCGAGAUGCAGAAACGCAGGGUGCGGGAUGACGGGCUUCGGGGUGUAAACCGAUUUCGCAUGUGACGAAGAGGGAGUGACGGUAAUGGGUAAAGAAGCAACGGCUAACUACGUG